GCAAAACCCUGUCUCUACAAAAAAUUCACAGUUUAGCCAGUGACCACCAGUUACCACAGCGGCCACCGCUGCCCGUCAUCCAUGGCAAGACACGGCCGACCCACCACUGCCUCCAUCCAUGGUGGGACACGGCCGGCCCACCACUGCCCUCCAUCCACGGCGGGACACGGCCGGCUCACCACCGCCUGGACCAGCUCCGCGUGGUCGGGCCUUGGGUCUGCAGAGUCAGUCAUUAUCGGAGGCCUGGUGGCGUCUGGACCCAACCUCAGUCCACCCCUCCCACCCCUGCCACGCCCCCACCGGGCUCCCUUUCCCCAGCAGAGAGGCAGGACCCUGAGACCUACCUUCAUUCUGAGCACUCAAGGAGGCAGCCAGGAGCAGGAGGGCCCCAAAGGGCCAGGAAACGGGGCCGGGGAACACCAGGGGCCAGGUCUGCAUGGCUGGCGGGACUUCAGCAGCCUCAGGGGCCCCUGGUCCUUGUCACUGGCUCUCGGGACACUCCCUGGAGGAAGGAAAGCCUGUGGGUCAGAGCCCCCUGUGGCUGCCAGAGGGGACAGUGGUAGUGGCUGUCGCCUGGCGGGGGCUGGGAGGCUGGGGGUCCCCACGCUCUUUCCUGAGUGGCUGUGCCUGGGAUGCCAGAGCCUCCACCCUCCUUCCCUUCCCCGUGACUGUAGAGGGCGUGCGAUGCUGGCUGCGUGAAACAAAGAAGACACAUGGGGGCAGGAGACAGAGUCGCCCGAAGCACCGCGGGACAUCUGACUUGUGGGUCAGCCCUUUUGUUUUACAAUAAAUUACUCAUGACUGUCUGA
This is a non-coding RNA of Macaca mulatta (Rhesus monkey), 809 nucleotides long. The record is from RefSeq and is a predicted model, not a curated record. NCBI's taxonomy places the organism in Eukaryota, Metazoa, Chordata, Mammalia, Primates, Cercopithecidae.